Molecule: unclassified non-coding RNA, 688 nt
Filed under: Hevea brasiliensis (rubber tree)
Lineage: Eukaryota; Viridiplantae; Streptophyta; Magnoliopsida; Malpighiales; Euphorbiaceae
Source: RNAcentral
AACGGCACCACCAAAAUCCCCACCACUGAUAAUAAUGACACUUUAACGGGCAAACGCAAACGUUGUGAUUGUGUUAACGUUAAAUUAAACGACGUUAAACAAAGAAAUAAUCAUCCAAUUACAACAAUUAGGGAAAAUGAUGCAAACUUACCUAACAAAAUGGCAACAAUUUUAGCUCCGGUGAUGUCAAUAGUACCACCUCAGGCAAUAAUGCCAGUGGGAUCAAUGUUUCCUGUUCCGGCGAGAAUAAACUCGAGUAUGGCAGCACCGUCAACAGUUUGGUUAAUUCAGCAAACACCAUUGAUACCAUCAACAAGGCAAAGUGCAGCUCAGGUGAAUUGUGUUAGUGUUAGGCCAGCAGCUACUUUCUUCGGUGUUCCAAAUGCGUCACUCAUUCCUGCUUCUGCUACCGACGUCUGCUCCUCCCACUCUUCCGGUCAUUGUUGAUUGUGCUGAAUCAAGAGUCUAGAAUGAUCACGCCAAAUUCAUUGUUCAUUAUUGACCACACAGGAAUCUAAAGCUAAUGAUCACUUUAAUAAUCAACUGUAACUCUUCUUCCAUGAUAACUGUUGCUUUGAAAAUUCCUCAGAUCUUUUAUUUCCUCCGAUUAAUAGUUCAAUCCAUGACCAAAAUUCACAAAUUGUAGUUAUAGCUAGUACAGAUUCUCAAAAUCAUCUGAAGAUUAAAA